Ribosomal RNA from Rhineura floridana, 120 nucleotides. The record is from RefSeq and is a predicted model, not a curated record. Lineage: Eukaryota; Metazoa; Chordata; Lepidosauria; Squamata; Rhineuridae.
GCCUACGGCCAUACUACCCUGAACACACCUGAUCUCGUCUGAUCUCAGAAGCUAAGCAGGGUCAGGCCUGGUUAGUAACUUGGCUGGGAGACUGCCUGGGAAUAUCAGGUGCCGUAGGCU